This 468-nucleotide ribosomal RNA is filed under the name uncultured bacterium. RNAcentral's name for it is "partial 16S ribosomal RNA". It matches the Rfam family "Bacterial small subunit ribosomal RNA", at positions 28 to 507 of the family's 1533-position model. The record is from RNAcentral.
GACGAACGCUGGCGGCGUGCUUAACACAUGCAAGUCGAACGGAAAGACCCUGCUUUUGUGGGGUGCUCGAGUGGCGAACGGGUGAGUAACACGUGAGUAACCUGCCCUUGACUUUGGGAUAACUUCAGGAAACUGGGGCUAAUACCGGAUAGGAGCUCCUGCUGCAUGGUGGGGGUCGGAAAGUUUCGGAGGUUGGGGAUGGACUCGCGGCUUAUCAGCUUGUUGGUUGGGUAGUGGCUUACCCAGGCUUUGACGGGUAGCCGGCCUGAGAGGGUGACCGGCCACAUUGGGACUGAGAUACGGCCCAGACUCCUACGGGAGGCAGCAGUGGGGAAUAUUGCACAAUGGGCGGAAGCCUGAUGCAGCAACGCCGCGUGCGGGAUGACGGCCUUCGGGUUGUAAACCGCUUUCGCCUGUGACGAAGCGUGAGUGACGGUAAUGGGUAAAGAAGCACCGGCUAACUACGUG